This is a long non-coding RNA of Cephus cinctus (wheat stem sawfly), 822 nucleotides long. RefSeq lists it as uncharacterized. The record is from RefSeq and is a predicted model, not a curated record. The transcript is spliced from 3 exons. NCBI's taxonomy places the organism in Eukaryota, Metazoa, Arthropoda, Insecta, Hymenoptera, Cephidae.
ACAGUGGACUCUGCCGGUAUGUAUACCGACACGCAUGUUUACGUCGACCGCCAUUACUUCUCUGACAAGUCUGUCAAAGAUAUAUAUACAAUUUUUGAAUAAAUAACAAAUAUACGGUUUGGUUUUCUCUCUAGAAGACUUCAAUUUCUUUAUGACACUACAAUAAAAAGGAGAACGAAGUCAAUAGAGGCUAUAAAAGAUAUUUCUUUAAUGUAUAUUCAAUGGAAAUAGACUGUACAAAGAAAAAUAAUGAACUACGACGAAGUGAAAAAGAAAUCUACUGCCAUGGUCAAAUUAAGAAUGAAAAAUAAACGAAAGUAAAGAAGAAAACAAAUAUAACCAUACCAAGCUACAUUCGUCUGAAUGAAAAAUACAGGUAUCUAUCAAUCAGGUCCAGUUCCACUCAUGAUCAAAUCAAUAGGUCAGGGAGGUUAUGGAUUCAAAUUGUUCAUGAGUUAUGGCUGAGUUUCUCCCUGGGAUAAUUAACCAGUGACGUCAUAGCAUUACAAAACUUCGUUGAACAACGUCAUUGAUGAAACUAAUUAUGCGGACAGUAAUUAAAAUGGCUCCUCAAAAACGGCGCCAAAAUUCAAAUGCAUUUGUUGAAUGUGAAGUUACAAAGGUCCCUAGGGAAAUUGAGUGAAAACGGUAACCAUUAAUUUUGUGAUCACAACGAAGAUUGAUAUACAUAUACAUAUAUAUGGUAACAUUAUAUACCAUAUGUAAAUCCAAGCAGCAUGAUUAGGAAGAUAUAUCUAAACAUUGGCGUAUCCAUCUAACUCCCUGAAACUUGUACCAGACCGAGAGAACAUGAAAUUGAUG